Molecule: ribosomal RNA, 1144 nt
Filed under: Amanita sp. 1A9
Lineage: Eukaryota; Fungi; Basidiomycota; Agaricomycetes; Agaricales; Amanitaceae
Description: eukaryotic LSU rRNA
Rfam family: Eukaryotic large subunit ribosomal RNA (bases 510-1144)
Source: RNAcentral
GGAGGAUCAUUAUUGAAUGAAACACUUCUGGCCUUAUGUUGUUGUGCUGGCCCUUUGGGCAAUGUGCACGCAGCUCUGGUCAGUUGUUUCUUCUUGUUCCACCUGUGCACUGCCUGUAGACACACUGUGUCUAUGAUAUUUGAUAACACACAAGAAUGUUAGUUGGCAUGUUAUAUUAUAAUAAAAUAUACAACUUUCAACAACGGAUCUCUUGGCUCUCGCAUCGAUGAAGAACACAGCGAAAUGUGAUAAGUAAUGUGAAUUGCAGAAUCCAGUGAAUCAUCGAAUCUUUGAACGCAUCUUGCGCUCCUUGGCAUUCCGAGGAGCAUGCCUGUUUGAGUGUCAUUAAACUAUCAAAACACUUUUUGUUGAGGUGUUUUGGACUUUGGGAGUAGUGUGCUGGUCUCUUAUGAGCCAGCUCUCCUUAAAAGCAUUAACUUUGGAGAACCAUCAGUGUGAUAUAUCAUUUUGUUUAUACGCUGGCUUUCUCCUUUUUAAAAAUGCCCCUUUGACCUCAAAUCAGGUAGGACUACCCGCUGAACUUAAGCAUAUCAAUAAGCGGAGGAAAAGAAACUAACAAGGAUUCCCCUAGUAACUGCGAGUGAAGCGGGAAAAGCUCAAAUUUGAAAUCUGGCAGUCUAUUUUUUCUUCUUUGGCUGUCCGAGUUGUAAUCUAGAGAAGUGCUUACCUGCACUGGACCAUGUAUAAGUCUCCUGGAAUGGAGCGUCACAGAGGGUGAGAAUCCCGUCUUUGACAUGGACUGCCAGUGUGUUGUGGUGUGCUCUCAAAGAGUCGAGUUGUUUGGGAAUGCAGCUCUAAAUGGGUGGUAAACUCCAUCUAAAGCUAAAUAUUGGCGAGAGACCGAUAGCGAACAAGUACCGUGAGGGAAAGAUGAAAAGGACUUUGGAAAGAGAGUUAAACAGUAUGUGAAAUUGUUGAAAGGGAAACGCUUGAAGUCAGUUAUGUUGGCUAGGGAUCAACCUUGUCUUUUGCUGGGUGAAUUUCCUAGUUUGACAGGCCAACAUCAGUCUUGACUGCUGGAAAAGAGCAGAGGGAAUGUGGCACCUUCGGGUGUGUUAUAGCCCUUUGUCAUAUGCAGCGGUUGGGACUGAGGGAUGCAGCGUGCCGCGAGGCUGGGUUCGAC